Long non-coding RNA from Cyprinus carpio carpio, 768 nucleotides. NCBI's taxonomy places the organism in Eukaryota, Metazoa, Chordata, Actinopteri, Cypriniformes, Cyprinidae. The record is from Ensembl.
CAAGUAAGAACCGGGAGAUCUUGUGAGCGUGCGCGCUAUUGAUGCUGUUAAAAACAUGCGUCGGCUCAUGCACAACAACACAGGCACGAGGUCCAUGUUGAGACAGAAUGAGGGUGAUACUGCAUGUGUCAAAUUUGUCCAUCCACGGUAAAGUAUUCCUUGAAAGCUGCGUGGACACAGCUGUGCGCGAGAUGAGUGGAACACGGAGAAAGAAGUAUGAGCCAUCUCUCAUGAAGUGGUCACUUGGUUCAUUCCUGAAUUAAUCAUGCUGCGUCCUAAUGUGACUACUUAUAUUACGUACUUAAAAUGAAUCAUGACUAACCAGAGUGGACAGCAUAUCUGCAGAUAAAUUAAAUAAAAGUGGGGAUAAUGGGCAUCCCUGCCUUAUUCCACGACCAAUCGAAAAUCUUUGUGUAGUACCAAAAGUGUAAGAGUAGGCAAGCUUUGGGACAUACUAUCAUGUCAUACAAUUGUGUCUUUAAUGGACCGCUCUGCCGCAUAGUUACAAGCACCCUGUCACUGUAAACAGGCCUGUCAAUCAUCUUGUCACAGUUAACAUCCUCCACAUCUCAUUUCAUUUAUCUUCAUACUGUAUUGGAGAGAAAUGAAGUAGCACGUUGAUCUGCCAGCCAUGGAUCUUUAUGCAGAGAUCUCUGCUCAUAUUUUUUGCAUAAUGAUGCAUUAAAAGUUAAUAGCUAAAAAGAUGUUUAUAAAAAUUCCCAUUAUUGUUGCAGAUGAAAUGCAACACAGAUAACAUUAUAUAUAUAU